CAGGCCUACACAUGCAAGUCGAGCGGCAGCGCGGGGCAACCUGGCGGCGAGCGGCGAACGGGUGAGUAAUACAUGGGAAUCUGCCCUGUAGUGGGGGAUAACUUCGGGAAACUGGAGGUAAUACCGCAUACGUCCUACGGGAGAAAGCGGGGGAUCUUCGGACCUCGCGCUAUAGGAGGAGCCCAUGUCCGAUUAGCUAGUUGGUGAGGUAAAGGCUCACCAAGGCGACGAUCGGUAACUGGUCUGAGAGGAUGGUCAGUCACACUGGAACUGAGACACGGUCCAGACUCCUACGGGAGGCAGCAGUGGGGAAUAUUGGACAAUGGGGGCAACCCUGAUCCAGCCAUGCCGCGUGUGUGAAGAAGGCCUUCGGGUUGUAAAGCACUUUAAGUGGGGAGGAAGGCUCGCAGGCUAAUAGUCUGCGGGAGUGACGUUACCCACAGAAUAAGCACCGGCAAACUCCGUGCCAGCAGCCGCGGUAAUACGGAGGGUGCGAGCGUUAAUCGGAAUUACUGGGCGUAAAGCGUACGUAGGCGGUUUGUUAAGUCGGAUGUGAAAUCCCUGGGCUCAACCUGGGACCUGCAUUCGAUACUGAUAGACUUGAAUACGGUAGAGGGGGGUGGAAUUCCAGGUGUAGCGGUGAAAUGCGUAGAGAUCUGGAGGAACAUCAGUGGCGAAGGCGGCCCCCUGGACCGAUAUUGACGCUGAGGUACGACAGCGUGGGGAGCAAACAGGAUUAGAUACCCCUGGUAGUCCACGCCGUAAACGAUGUCGACUAGCCGUUGGGGAAACUUGAUUUCCCAGUGGCGCAGCUAACGCGAUAAGUCGACCGCCUGGGGAGUACGGCCGCAAGGUUAAAACUCAAAUGAAAUUGACGGGGACCCGCACAAGCGGUGGAGUAUGUGGUUUAAUUCGACGCACGCGAAGAACCUUACUGCUCUUGAC
Molecule: ribosomal RNA, 945 nt
Filed under: uncultured bacterium
Lineage: Bacteria
Description: bacterial SSU rRNA
Rfam family: Bacterial small subunit ribosomal RNA
Source: RNAcentral